RNAcentral lists this ribosomal RNA (466 nucleotides) under uncultured bacterium. RNAcentral describes it as "bacterial SSU rRNA". It matches the Rfam family "Bacterial small subunit ribosomal RNA", at positions 338 to 795 of the family's 1533-position model. The record is from RNAcentral.
CCUACGGGCGGCACCAGUGGGGAAUAUUGGACAAUGGGGGAAACCCUGAUCCAGCCAUGCCGCGUGUGUGAAGAAGGCCUUAUGGUUGUAAAGCACUUUAAGCGAGGAGGAGGCUACUGAGACUAAUACUCUUGGAUAGUGGACGUUACUCGCAGAAUAAGCACCGGCUAACUCUGUGCCAGCAGCCGCGGUAAUACAGAGGGUGCGAGCGUUAAUCGGAUUUACUGGGCGUAAAGCGUGCGUAGGCGGCUUUUUAAGUCGGAUGUGAAAUCCCCGAGCUUAACUUGGGAAUUGCAUUCGAUACUGGGAAGCUAGAGUAUGGGAGAGGAUGGUAGAAUUCCAGGUGUAGCGGUGAAAUGCGUAGAGAUCUGGAGGAAUACCGAUGGCGAAGGCAGCCAUCUGGCCUAAUACUGACGCUGAGGUACGAAAGCAUGGGGAGCAAACAGGAUUAGAUACCCCGGUAGUC